This is a long non-coding RNA of Magnolia sinica, 362 nucleotides long. RefSeq lists it as uncharacterized. The record is from RefSeq and is a predicted model, not a curated record. The transcript has 2 exons. NCBI's taxonomy places the organism in Eukaryota, Viridiplantae, Streptophyta, Magnoliopsida, Magnoliales, Magnoliaceae.
CUAAUAAGACUGCAUGUACUCUGUUUUGGUUGUCUGUAUGUUUUAUACUAUUUCUUACCUAAUGCGGCGGUAUGUAAUCUUGAGGGGAAUUCACACUGAGUUGGCCACUCAUCCAUCAAAUAUAAAACCGUACAGGUGGCUUAAGUGAUAUGCAUGUUCAGACUUGAUAAGGAGCAGGAUACGAUCACCAGGAAUGCUUGAUUGUAUGCUUGGAGGAGCUGUGUGAUCUUGCGGCUUAUAUUUAUAUGAUUUCUAUUAUUUCUCAUGUAUUAGAUCAUGUAAUUCUUGUAUUUGUUAAUUUUGGAGACAUUAGUUUGUAUAAGUCAUUAUGGGCAUAUUUGAAUAAUAAUGAAAUUUUCCUU